RNAcentral lists this transfer RNA (73 nucleotides) under Candidatus Roizmanbacteria bacterium CG_4_9_14_0_2_um_filter_38_17. Its description in RNAcentral is "tRNA-Phe". It matches the Rfam family "tRNA". From Rfam's summary of the family: Transfer RNA (tRNA) molecules are approximately 80 nucleotides in length. Their secondary structure includes four short double-helical elements and three loops (D, anti-codon, and T loops). Further hydrogen bonds mediate the characteristic L-shaped molecular structure. tRNAs have two regions of fundamental functional importance: the anti-codon, which is responsible for specific mRNA codon recognition, and the 3' end, to which the tRNAs corresponding amino acid is attached (by aminoacyl-tRNA synthetases). tRNAs cope with the degeneracy of the genetic code in two manners: having more than one tRNA (with a specific anti-codon) for a particular amino acid; and 'wobble' base-pairing, i.e. permitting non-standard base-pairing at the 3rd anti-codon position. RNAcentral also lists the same sequence under 2 other names. The record is from RNAcentral. Lineage: Bacteria; Candidatus Roizmaniibacteriota.
GGCAGGGUAGCCAAGGUGGUCAAGGCGCGUGUCUGAAAAACAUGAGAUCUCAGUUCGACUCUGAGUCCUGCCA